Molecule: long non-coding RNA, 948 nt
Organism: Myotis brandtii (Brandt's bat)
Lineage: Eukaryota; Metazoa; Chordata; Mammalia; Chiroptera; Vespertilionidae
Exons: 2
Source: RefSeq, a predicted model, not a curated record
GGUGGGGGGUGCCGGGUGCAGAGCUGUGACUAGGCGUUUGGGACGUGCGCCGAGCACCCGGCUCUGAACUCCCGCUGUGACCUCGGCGCAGCUCGCUCCCCACACCCCGUGUGCCCGGUACUUGAACCCUAGUGGUUAGAGAGCCUGAAAGCGGAUUCUGGGGAUCCUGCUCGGAGAAAUAAUCCGUUGGAAGUGAGAACAGAUUACCAAAAAAUUCUUUGUAUGUGUCAAGGCUUAAUCACUGUGUAGCAUCAUAUGAAACCCGUGGGACGGUUAUUGACAUAUCUUACCCGUUAUAUAUGCAGUGCUUUGGCAAGCAGUAGGAAGGGUAGUCUUCCAGUUCUGUGGGAGCUCUCCUUUCACCAACACUGGGAGGGGAUGCUGAGAGGAAGAGAGGCCAGGUGGCCCGGAUUCCUCUCUGGAUCAUCAACCUCCCAAUGCCCAGAAUGUGUCGUCAGAGUUGGGAAACGGGUUUCUGGAAGGUCCCUGGCAGGCCGAGGGGCUGCUGGCGGCUGCGGCGGGGCGUGCAGUGAGGAGGCGGCAGAGAACAGGCUGUCCUGGCAGUGUUUACCGUCAGAUCCUAUGGAGAUGUCUUCACAGCUCAGCUCAAACCUCACUUCCUCUGGGAGCCGUCCCGAGCCCCAUGCUCCAGCAGGGUGCCCGUGCUACGUGCUGGAAGACACCCUGUCCUUUUUCCCCCUGGAACUUCCCAUGUCUGUAAUACAUGCGGGCGUAUCGGUGUCCUUCCCUAACCCAGGCUGCCGUUGAUAACUCCAAGAGCAUUCAUUGCCCCUGCCAUGUGUCUCCAGCCCUGGGCGCAGGGUCCGCGUCAUAAAUAUUUGUCAAGUAAAGUAUUGGGGGUCAUCGCCUCGAUGGCUCCUCCUUUCCCAGCCUUCACCUUGUUUAGGGCUGAUUACAAAAUGAAAGUAAAGACAUUUUCCAACUCUC